GUCGAACGAUGAAGCUCCAGCUUGCUGGGGUGGAUUAGUGGCGAACGGGUGAGUAACACGUGAGUAACCUGCCCCUCACUUCGGGAUAACGCCUGGAAACGGGUGCUAAUACCGGAUAUGACGCGCUAUCGCAUGGUGGUGUGUGGAAAGACUGUGUUGGUGGGGGAUGGGCUCGCGGCCUAUCAGCUUGUUGGUGGGGUGAUGGCCUACCAAGGCGGUGACGGGUAGCCGGCCUGAGAGGGUGACCGGCCACACUGGGACUGAGACACGGCCCAGACUCCUACGGGAGGCAGCAGUGGGGAAUAUUGCACAAUGGGCGGAAGCCUGAUGCAGCGACGCCGCGUGAGGGAUGACGGCCUUCGGGUUGUAAACCUCUUUCGGUAGGGAAGAAGCCUUCGGGUGACGGUACCUGCAGAAGAAGCGCCGGCUAACUACGUGCCAGCAGCCGCGGUAAUACGUAGGGCGCAAGCGUUGUCCGGAAUUAUUGGGCGUAAAGAGCUCGUAGGCGGCCUGUCGCGUCUGCUGUGAAAGCCCGGGGCUUAACUCCGGGUCUGCAGUGGGUACGGGCGGGCUGGAGUGCGGUAGGGGAGACUGGAAUUCCUGGUGUAGCGGUGGAAUGCGCAGAUAUCAGGAGGAACACCGGUGGCGAAGGCGGGUCUCUGGGCCGUUACUGACGCUGAGGAGCGAAAGCAUGGGGAGCGAACAGGAUUAGAUACCCUGGUAGUCCAUGCCGUAAACGUUGGGCACUAGGUGUGGGGCCUGUUUCCACGGGUUCCGUGCCGUAGCUAACGCAUUAAGUGCCCCGCCUGGGGAGUACGGCCGCAAGGCUAAAACUCAAAGGAAUUGACGGGGGCCCGCACAAGCGGCGGAGCAUGCGGAUUAAUUCGAUGCAACGCGAAGAACCUUACCAAGGCUUGACAUGCACCGGUAACGUCCAGAGAUGGGCGCCCCCUUACGGGUCGGUGCACAGGUGGUGCAUGGUUGUCGUCAGCUCGUGUCGUGAGAUGUUGGGUUAAGUCCCGCAACGAGCGCAACCCUCGUCCUGUGUUGCCAGCGGGUUAUGCCGGGGACUCAUGGGAGACUGCCGGGGUCAACUCGGAGGAAGGUGGGGAUGACGUCAAAUCAUCAUGCCCCUUAUGUCUUGGGCUUCACGCAUGCUACAAUGGCCGGUACAAAGGGUUGCGAUGCCGUGAGGUGGAGCGAAUCCCAAAAAGCCGGUCUCAGUUCGGAUUGGGGUCUGCAACUCGACCCCAUGAAGUCGGAGUCGCUAGUAAUCGCAGAUCAGCAACGCUGCGGUGAAUACGUUCUCGGGCCUUGUACACACCGCCCGUCACGUCACGAAAGUCGGUAACACCCGAAGCCGGUGGCCUAACCCUUGUGGGGGGAGCCGUCGAAGGUGGGACUGGCGAUUGGGACAAAGUCGUAACAAGGUAGCCGUACCGGAAGGUGCGGUUGGAUCACCU
RNAcentral lists this ribosomal RNA (1463 nucleotides) under Georgenia sp. CC-AMFL-44. RNAcentral's name for it is "bacterial SSU rRNA". It matches the Rfam family "Bacterial small subunit ribosomal RNA". Lineage: Bacteria; Bacillati; Actinomycetota; Actinomycetes; Allobogoriellales; Allobogoriellaceae. The record is from RNAcentral.